UGCAAGUCGAGCGGACUUGAUGGAGUGCUUGCACUCCUGAUGGUUAGCGGCGGACUUGUGAGUAACACGUAGGCAACCUGCCCUCAAGACUGGGAUAACUACCGGAAACGGUAGCUAAUACCGGAUAAUUUAUUACAUAGCAUUAUGUGAUAAUGAA
RNAcentral lists this ribosomal RNA (157 nucleotides) under Paenibacillus vortex. Its description in RNAcentral is "partial 16S ribosomal RNA". It matches the Rfam family "Bacterial small subunit ribosomal RNA", at positions 56 to 205 of the family's 1533-position model. Lineage: Bacteria; Bacillati; Bacillota; Bacilli; Caryophanales; Paenibacillaceae. The record is from RNAcentral.